GGCUCGGCAGGUGGAGAGGCCAGAGCCAUCGUGGGCAUCUGCUCUGCGCAGUCCCCACUUCGGAGGGUCGAGGGUCGGGCUGGAAGUGCCUUGGAGGGGGCUGUAAAGGGAUGCGGGGCGCAGACGGUGCAGGGCCCCCAGAAUGCAAGCUCCACGCGCAGGGCCGUCUGCACGUUUGCUUUGCGGCUGUUUGUGCCUGCAAGAAUGGCUUAGGGGUACGGUAACGUUUGUUGGAUGAAUGACAAGCUAGGGAAUUGGGACUCAAUCCUAAAGAUAAGAAGGGAAGUGAUAGGGUCAGGUUGUUUCACAAAGAUUGUUCUGGUAGCCACUGUGGAGGAAGGAUCUGUGACACUGCAGGAGAGAAGAGGCCAGAGCAACAAGGGAAUGGGAAGACAGCUCCUUUGCAGGAUGUAAGUGCAGAGCUACAGAUGUCCAUCCCUUUGUCUGCUCACUAUUAAAGUAUUUAUUAUGUGCCAAGCACUAUUUUAGGUGCUGGAGUUACAAGCAGUAAACAAGACAGAGCCUCUGUCCUCACAGAACUUACACUUAAGUAUGGGAGGGAAGCAAGAAAUAAAUCAUUUCUGGUUGUGACCUCCAGGGCAGAGAAAGGGAGCUACAGUCAGCUGUUGCUCACACCCUGUGAACCUGGGAAGGGCCAAGGUGGAUUAUUGAAGCAGAGAUCACUAAUUAUUCUGGAAAAUAUCAGGCAUGUCUUCCUCCACCAUACUUUUCACCAUUCACUGAGACACUUAAGCUAGAAGCUCAAGCAUUAUCUAAGAUUCUUUCCUCUCAGUCACACCCCCACAACCUGUUAACAAUCUACUUACUUUCAAAAUGCCACACUUCAUCACAUCUAAGAUGUUAUCCCUCCUCAGACCAUUGUUUUAUAUAGCUCUAAGAAAGAUCUAAUUCUUGUUUGUUUUUCAAAACCCAAGCAGGCAUCAGCUCCUCCAAGAAGUCUUCCUGGAUUCUCCAAGCUAAGUAAGGCCCCUCUCCCUGGUGCUGCACGACAGUCCAUGCAUACCCGUCACAGCCCUUCUUAUUAUAGUUGUUGGCUUGUGUUUCUCCCCCCACCAGAGUGAGUCUCAUUCUGGGGUGCUCUCCGCCAAAACCUGGAACCUAGAAGAUGCUUAAUACCUAUGAAAUUAUUGGGUGGACAGAUGGGUGGGUGAAUGAAAAGUGACUACUGUGGAUAAUCCCAUUCUGAGGGGCUGCAUCCAAAAUCACCUCACAUUGUCACUAGCCUUCCCUAAGUGUGGUUAAGUGGCUUAACCAGGAAAGAGCAAUGGCACCGCCUGGUGGCCAGUGUGGGGAGUACAUCUUAUUGAGAAGAAACCGGUUUCUCUCUGAAUCACUGCUCUCCAGCUCCAGUGGUUAGGAAGUGUCAAGAGUGAGGCAGAUUUGAAUUUUCAAAUGAUCGAGCUGAUGACUGUGCAGAAUGGAUUGGAGAGGGGCUAGAGGGAGAAGCAGGGAUGCCAGCUGGGAGGCUGUUUUGUCAGAGCUGAGAGUAAAGUCCAGAUCUGUAACUUCAACAUCAGCAUACUUAAUCACUUUGUAAUACUGCCUCUUGUACACAGGAUUUCACUUUCUCCCUCUUACUGAACACUGUGGCAGACAGAUUCUAAGACCUGUCCAGUGAUGCAAUGAUGUCUCCCUUCUGGUAGUCAUGCCUCUGUGUGACUCACCUCCAUACGGGCUGGCCUAGUGACUUGUUUCUAACCAACGGAAAAUGGCAAAGGAGAUGAGAUGUCACUUCUGUGAUUAGACUACCUAAGACUGUAACUUCCAUCCCACUGGCACUCUCAUCCUUGUUCACUCUAAUGAAGAAGCCUGCCACGUUUCGGAGGCUAAUGUGGCAAGGAACUAAGGGCAACCUCCAGCUAACAGCUAAUGAUUGGAGCCCCUCAGGCCUACAACCCUCGAGGAACCAAAAUUCUGCCAAUAAUAUAAGUGAGCCUGGAAGCAGAUCCUUCCCCAGUCAGGCCUUUAGAUGAGAACCCAGCCCUGGCCAAAAAUUUGAAUGUAGCCUUGAAGGGUUUCAAGUAAAGAAGCCAUCAAAAUUGUGCCUGAACCCCUGACCUAUAGAAACUAUGAAAUAAUAAAUGUAUGUUGCUUUAAACCACUAAGUUUGUGAUUUAUUUGGUAACUAAUAAAACACCUACUCAAAAUGUGUCAUUAGCAUGGAGGUCAGACCUUUGUACAAACCUGGGAAGCUUUCCAUAUUCAGAAUCAACCACUGUACCACUAAUGUC
This is a non-coding RNA of Microcebus murinus (gray mouse lemur), 2252 nucleotides long. The record is from RefSeq and is a predicted model, not a curated record. Lineage: Eukaryota; Metazoa; Chordata; Mammalia; Primates; Cheirogaleidae.